UAUAAUUGUACACACAUACAAACACAACCCCAGCUAACAGAAAAAUCAUUUCCCCUCAGUCUUGUCUGCAUUUCCUUUUCCCCUAUAAAAUACCAUUUUCGUCUCUCAGCCACAGCGUAGCUCCCUUUUCUGAUAUGGACACAUUUGAAGUGCUGAGCUGCAUGCACAACCACAAAAACGCAGCAUUUCCCUGUUUCUUUUUUCUUGUUCGCAGUGUAUUUUUCAUUCCUCACUUCUUCUAAAUGGCAUGAAUUUUGAAUUUUCCAGGCAAGCGUACAGUCAAACAGUCAAACUGUGUUCUUUGUGAUAACCUGAAGGCACAUUUCUGAGUCAACAUGAAAUCUGGGUUUGUGUUUCUGCUACAUUCUAUUAUUAUCACCCCACAAACAGUCAUGAGGGAGUCACUGCAACGUUCUUUAUAAUUUGACACUCGCUGUGACUUUAUGAGCCACAAUUCUGUUGACUUUCAAUUUGAUUAUGAUUUUUUUCAAAGCCCCUUUAGUUUUUUUUUUGUUUUUGGUGUCCAGAGACUGGUGGCCUUUGUGCAGAAAGCUAGAAUUGAAAUUAUUUAAUUUUUUUGUGGUCCCAUGUGGACUGCACCUGAUAAAAGCAGUUUCGAGACUAGCUGAAUGAACAGACACCUUUGGUGUUCUGAUGACAAUGGGCUGUUAAAUAAGUAAUUGAUGAGAAUAAUAAGAAAAAAAUUAUUCCUCCACCUUUGGCUAGCUUUUGAUUUAAAUGUUGCCAAGAUUUUGUGGUGAAAUAGUCACAAUUUUCUUUUAUAAAUGUACAAAAAAAAAAAGACAAUUCUCAGAACCUUUUCAUUUUUAAAAUAAUUGAAAAGCCCGAAAUGUUUUCAGUGGAUGCCAAACGGAGUUAACUUAGUAGAAUGCAGUAAUUGAGCAAUAGUCCAAAUUAUAAAUGUCCUCUACAGAAGACAAAAUUGCAUUGCUGGUAGUCAGUUAAUUUAUAAGAGAAGUGCUUCACAAUGAAGUCCAAUCAUGGGUUUUGCUUGGCUUAAUCUAUAUCUUUACUAACCAGUGCUUGUUUUAAGCUUUUGAUGAUUAUUGUUGAAAAAAAACAGCAGAAAACAAUAACAAAUAUAAUUGUCAUUUAAGGAUAAUCGUCUGAGUGCAUUUUUCUUUCAGACUUCUAUGUUUUAAAAAAGCUUUUACGUAUCGAAUUUAAAUAUGAUCUAGUGAUCUAAACAAUGUUUGAGUUCUUUACUUUUACGAAUACAGGUAGGUGUUAACUCUUCACACAUUUCUAGGUUUCUGACAGUUUGUUGUCCCCUGUUGUUCCUCCCGCUUUUACUUUGCUCCUAAAUUACCUUUGAUAAGAUUUUCCUCUUUGAUGUUUAGGAUUUGUAUUCUUGUCAACAUUUGUGUCACGGUGCCUGUCAGUUCACCUCCCCCCCUCCUACAGCUCUCACCACCUUGCUGAUUGGAACCAGCUGAUCCUCAUCUUCUCAUCAUCCUGCCGGUCUUCAUAAGGGAGCUCUCACCAGAAUUCUACGCCAGUUUGUUAUACUCACUCCGGUUCCUACCUUGGUCACGCUGGUUCCUCCCCUCCACGCUGGUCCUGCCGUCCUCGGCAUCCACGCCUCGUUCCAAGCUGGUUUCCGCCGUCCUCGGCGUCCACGCCUUACCUCAAGCCGGUCCCGCUGUCCUCAGCGCCCAAGCCUCGCUCCCUCUGGAUCCACAGUUCGACGCGUCUUCGUGUCGCCCCCUCCCCUUCAUCUGCAUCAGCUCAAAGGAAACACCAAGUUCAAUCCACGGAGGAAAUACGUCCACAUCCCCUCAGAAACUUAUUUACCUCUGGUAAAAUAAAUCCAUUUAAAGUCA
Molecule: non-coding RNA, 1844 nt
Organism: Oryzias latipes (Japanese medaka)
Lineage: Eukaryota; Metazoa; Chordata; Actinopteri; Beloniformes; Adrianichthyidae
Source: RefSeq, a predicted model, not a curated record